GACGAACGCUGGCGGCGUGCUUAACACAUGCAAGUCGAACGGAAAGGCCCUGCUUUUGUGGGUUGCUCGAGUGGCGAACGGGUGAGUAACACGUGAGUAACCUGCCCUUGACUUUGGGAUAACUUCAGGAAACUGGGGCUAAUACCGGAUAGGAGCUCCUGCUGCAUGGUGGGGGUUGGAACGUUUCGGCGGUUGGCGAUUGACUCGCGGCUUAUCAGCUGGGUGGUGGGGUAGUGGCUUACCAAGGCUUUGACGGGUAGCCGGCCUGAGAGGGUGACCGGCCAUAUUGGGACUGAGAUAGGGCCCAGAAUCCUAUGGGAGGCAGCAGUGGGGAAUAUUGCACAAGUGGCGGAAGUCUGAGGCAGCAGAGCCGCGUGCGUAAUGUCAGCCUUCGGGUUGUAAACCGCUUUCGCCUGUGACGAAGCGUGAGUGACGGUAAUGGGUAAAGAAGCACCGGCUAACUACGUG
Molecule: ribosomal RNA, 468 nt
Filed under: uncultured bacterium
Lineage: Bacteria
Description: partial 16S ribosomal RNA
Rfam family: Bacterial small subunit ribosomal RNA
Source: RNAcentral